ACUAAACAAAAAGUUACAAAGUGAACUUGCGGUGCCUCCCUGAAGGGAAAUGUAGUUAUAAUUCCAGCGCAGUGGCUCUCUCUCAGUGGCGUGAGACUUUCUACAACAGAAUGACUAAAUGCCCAGAAUGUCCCAUCACUGAACCAGGAGCCAUUAUCAAGAGGACUGUAAGGGAAGCCUCCCUCCAAUGAAUAUUCAGAAUGAUGUUUUCAUUUAUUAGGUUGAAGCAUUUAAGGGAAAUAGUUUAAGUUGGGUAUGCUUUAGAAAAUGAUCAUAUAGAGCAUUGGGUCUGGCAGCUCUGUAGAAAGAAGCAGCUGAAAGUGUUCCUCCCUCUGUUUGUAUGCUUCUGGAAGCCGUCAGAGGCCAUCUGUCAGACCAACCUGGCCUGUCUUCUGUGCUGUCACACAGGGCUGGGGCAUGUGGGCAGAAUUAAUGUGCCAGAGAUUCAGCUACUAGAAAAGAGAUUACAUUUGUUUUCUGAGAACUUUGUUAAGAACCUCCCUGGGAUUGGAGAGAUGGUUCAGCAGUUAAAAUCAUUGACUGUUCUUCCAGAGGAUGUAGGUUCAAUCCCUAGCACCCACAUGACAUUCACAACUAACUGCCUGUGACUCUAGUCCCAAGGGUUACUAUGCCCCCAUCAUGCUCCAGGCAUCCACAUGGUACAUAAACAUACAUGAAGGAAAAACACCCAUACACAUAAAUAAUAAAAGUGUUCAACUGUCUUCAUCACAAACAGCAACCCUGACAGUUUCUGACUUACCC
RNAcentral lists this long non-coding RNA (762 nucleotides) under Mus pahari (shrew mouse). RNAcentral's name for it is "lncRNA (MGP_PahariEiJ_G0003468.1)". The record is from RNAcentral. Lineage: Eukaryota; Metazoa; Chordata; Mammalia; Rodentia; Muridae.